UUAUAUUUAGAAACUAUAUGAUUUAAGCAUAUUAAGUAAAUGUGUUUUCUUGUUUAAAUUUUAAUCUUUAAAAUAUAUAUUGUAUAUAUAUCUUACUGUACAGUAUGGGAUUUGCUCAUUAUUGACAGUUGUUAAUUCUCUGCUAUGUAGAUAUUUCAUUGACAACCAUUCCACAUCUCCUUUUUUAUUUCGUUGGUAUGCUUGGUGUCAUGUAAUAUAAUUAAUUAUGGAUUUAGUCCCCCCAAAUUUACAGUGCAAUGGACAUUAAUAAUGGUACAAUCCCCAGUGGUCAAGCAGCUUUUGUGCAAUCCGUUUGUCAGCUAACAGAUUCUCUAGGUUCUCCUUUCCCUCAUUAUUUUGUAUUAUGUCUUUCAGGAAAUGGUACUUUUUGCUGACCUCAAUCUGUAGCCGGGAGAAUGAUUGAUUAAAAUUUGAUAUGAAGGAUUUAUGAGUGGGAUGUUUCAUCUUCAAUGCCUUAUACUUGAUGCAGUCAUCCACAUCGGUUGAUGGGCCCAGUAACUGAACAGCCAGGUCAAAAGGGGUCUUCUUUCUACUAGAUACUGAAAUAAAAAAAAAUGCGAAGUUGAUGGUUGAUCCUCGUUGGCAGGUUCUUUGGUGCCACUACUGCCUUGAAAUUCUAUGGAGAGAAAAAAAUGCAGGUAUGUUGUGCUGGUAGUUGUCUGUUGACUCAGAUGGCAAGUCUACAAAAAACAUCAGUAGUUUCUGGAGGAUGACCGGAAGUGGUGCAUGUCUGGACCUUCGAUGUGAAAAGGUUCAUCAUCAGGACCAUCAUGGAAGAUCAUGUUACCAUCUUCCAUAUGCCACCAAACUCCUUCGCCAGACUUUCUCUAAACCAGAGUGUAGUAUUUAUGUGUUGCAGCCAACAGAGAAAAGUAACAAAAGGACCAAAAACUACCACUACAACUGAAUUGUUUAAAUCCGACAUCCAAGUUUGCAUUUGAUGUACAUGAAUAUUGCUUUAUAGCUUUGUGUUACUAAUUUGGUAAUACAAUUUCAGUGAAAUUGGAAAUAAUUUUGAUACAUGUAAUACAAUUUUA
Long non-coding RNA from Mytilus trossulus (common blue mussel), 1058 nucleotides. RefSeq lists it as uncharacterized. The record is from RefSeq and is a predicted model, not a curated record. Lineage: Eukaryota; Metazoa; Mollusca; Bivalvia; Mytilida; Mytilidae. The transcript is spliced from 5 exons.